RNAcentral lists this ribosomal RNA (253 nucleotides) under uncultured bacterium. RNAcentral describes it as "partial 16S ribosomal RNA". It matches the Rfam family "Bacterial small subunit ribosomal RNA", at positions 524 to 776 of the family's 1533-position model. The record is from RNAcentral.
GACGUAGGGCGCGAGCGUUGUCCGGAUUUAUUGGGCGUAAAGAGCUCGUAGGCGGCUUGUCGCGUCGACUGUGAAAACCCGCGGCUCAACUGCGGGCCUGCAGCCGAUACGGGCAGGCUAGAGUUCGGUAGGGGAGACUGGAAUUCCUGGUGUAGCGGUGAAAUGCGCAGAUAUCAGGAGGAACACCUAUGGCGAAGGCAGCUCGCUGGGACGGUACUGACGCUGAGACGCGAAAGCGUGGGGAGCGAACAGG